This is a long non-coding RNA of Capra hircus (goat), 691 nucleotides long. RefSeq lists it as uncharacterized. The record is from RefSeq and is a predicted model, not a curated record. NCBI's taxonomy places the organism in Eukaryota, Metazoa, Chordata, Mammalia, Artiodactyla, Bovidae. The transcript is spliced from 2 exons.
AGGAACGUUACAGGCUGCAGUCCAUGGGGUCACAAAGAGCUGGACACGACUUAGCAACUAAAGAACAGCAAGCGUUAGCGUGCUUUCUCCACACAGGUUGCAUCCUGGAGGUCGCUCCGAAUGGUUCUCAGAGCUCUUCCGUGUUCCGCGCGGCUUGGCCCUGUGGCUGUGGUGCGGGUAACCCACCUGCUCCCUGCUCCUUGUUACGUGGUUACAGGUGGUAAUUGCACCCUUCCAGCCUGUUACGUGGUUACAGGUGGUUCUUAGCAGGAAGUCUGGAGUGUGUGGGCUGUGCGUCUUCCUCUACCCCGAGCAUCUAACAUGAGGCCCUGAUCAGAGCUCCAUGCUUGGAGGGAGGCAUUGCAGGGAAACCUGGUCAGAGUUGGAGUCUGCACAGAGCCUGUCCCUGCCUCCUGUCUCUCCGUCCUGGUACCCAGAGGAGCACAGUAUGGAAGGAAGGAUGUCGGCGCCCUGUGGACCCACAGAGAUUUCUCGGAGAGGAGGAAAUAGCCCAGGUUUACAGCGGCUUUCUUCAGUUAUUAAAUAUUGAAGAGGACAAGUGUUCCUGGGAGGAGAUGGCGGAGGGAUGAAGAAUGGGAGAGCGCGGCGCACCCUGGCUCAGGCCCGGCGGCAGGAGGCUAAAUUUGUUAAAGAAGCACAUGAAUAAAUGAAAAGCCACCAUCCAUUUUCA